GUGCUUCCAAUUUAAAAUGGCUUUGAUUAGUGGCCUGUUUAUGUAACAGAGAAAGUUUGAGACAAGAGUCCAAGAUUCACAAGAGUUUGUCACAAACUUACUUCAUUUAACACAUGCGCUCACAAAUCUAGCUCCUCUGUGACUCAUGAGCCUCUGAGUUCCUGAAGACCUGGUCAUCAUGGAUAAAAGAGCUGGAGAAGAUGUUGGAAAUACUGUUCCACUGAAUGCUGUAUUAUGGAAACAGACUCCACAGGGAGCAGAGACCCCAUCGAUCAGCUUUCCUGUUAAUCACAUGCUUUGUUGGUAAAAUAAACCCCCAAAUCUCACAAUGCUCCACUUGCUUUCUUCUUCUACCUGGCCUGUACAAGUCCUUCUUGUUCUCACAGAAGAAUGCUGUUGUCCCAUCAGAUUAAGCAGAAGAGAAACGGCAUAGUAGCGUGAGCCACAGUCCUGUCCCAUCCCG
Cyprinus carpio carpio is the source of this 463-nucleotide long non-coding RNA. The record is from Ensembl. NCBI's taxonomy places the organism in Eukaryota, Metazoa, Chordata, Actinopteri, Cypriniformes, Cyprinidae.